UUGAGAGUUAACCAUGGCUUGGGUUUUCAGCUCUUUAUUGAUGGUUUUCUAUAUUGUAAAAAUUGACUUGGAGAAUGCAUUAUACUGAAAGUGGCACAACUUUUGUGCUCUUGCCAUUUUCUUAUUAAUUUCAAGUGGGAUAGCUUGAAUUGACGUGUGAUACUUGAGAUCAUUUAAUAGUGUUCAUGAGUCAAUCAUAAUAUUUUUGAAUUUAAGCUUGGUUAUCUGCUUUGGUUUAUGUAAUUUGAUUGGAGUUUCCUCACAUUCAUUUUAAACAGGUUCCUGGUCAGCGGUAUUGUCCACCCGUGGAAGUCUUUAAGAGUUACUGCAGAGAAGUUAGAAAAGGUUGUGUGAGACCAAACAGCUCCCGGUAUUAUCUCUCUUUUGUUGAUCAAGGUGGAGAGGGGAAUCGAUCAGAACCAGUAGAACCUCAUCUGGUAGUCCAAAUGGACACAGAGAGUUCUGUACUGUACCACAAAACCUGCCUCGACUAUUGUUUUGAAAAACCAAUAAAGGUGUCUUACAUCGCUACUGCUUUGAUGGAUGCGAAGCUUGGCACGGAAGGCCGCAAGGAUCUUUUUGAUUGGCUAUCAAGGAAACUUAGUGGAUUAAGCAAUUUUCCUGAUGCUGUAAAUCUGAAUUAUGUAUUGUUUCAAAUUGUUAUGUGAGAUGGAUGUGACUUGUGAAUGAAAACUUAGAAUAGUAAUAUUGUGUCGAAUGUUAAUGAUUCAGUUAAUUUGAAUGAUGUUUUAAAAUUA
Molecule: non-coding RNA, 758 nt
Organism: Camellia sinensis
Lineage: Eukaryota; Viridiplantae; Streptophyta; Magnoliopsida; Ericales; Theaceae
Source: RefSeq, a predicted model, not a curated record